CAGGAGACAGUUAUCCCUUUCUGGCCGGGCCCAGCGGACUUGGGAUGGGGGGGGGGGUCUAUCUUCAGCCAUAAGUGGUGAGUUCUAUUCAGCAUCAGUGUUUGGAUAGGGGUUUUAGACUCGCCAGAGAUCA
This 133-nucleotide small nucleolar RNA is filed under the name Bison bison bison. RNAcentral's name for it is "Small nucleolar RNA SNORA56 (ENSBBBG00000021639.1)". Lineage: Eukaryota; Metazoa; Chordata; Mammalia; Artiodactyla; Bovidae. The record is from RNAcentral.